UUACCAAUUUAAACUAUUCCCUCCUCCAGAGAGGCCACCUUGCCUUCUUAGAAAUCAGGGGGUUGAGUGAUAACGUCAGAACGUAUUUCAUCACAGAAUGGGGAGGAAGACGUGCUUCCGUUAUUCCUGAGGCUGUCCUGAUCUCUUAAGCCCAUGUGAGUUAAGUUAAUGAAUGGCUGAAGGCAAAGAUAGAAAGGGACCAUUUGAUCCCCUUCCAGCUUUCCCUGUUCAGAUACAGCCUGCGCUCCCAGUCCUUCCAGACACACCAUGAUAAACGUCCUGGCCAUAAUUGUGGCAUUGGUUAUGUCCCGUUAUGUCCAGGGCAGGAUCUUUCCGUUUUUGUCUCUUGUUUGUUCAUUUAUUCAAUGUCAGUUCAUAGACCUCUGGUUCUAGACCUGGUGUCUGUCAACACAGGACAUGGUGGACAAAAUUACUGCACAUGGAUGAAGAUGCCAUAGUCCUGUGCCACGUGGGUUAAUGAAUGAUCAGAGGCAAAGAUAGAGAAAGGGCCCUUUAUCCCCACCUGGGUUUCUCCGUUCAGAUACAGCCUGAAUUCCCAGUGCUUCCAGACUCACCAUGAUGAAGUUCCUGGUCCUCAUUGUGGCGUUGGUUAUCACCACAGGUGGGGAAAUACAGAGGGAGCUGAAGACAUUACAUCUCAUUUCAGCAUUUUUCUUGUGAUGGCAGGAUGAUCCCGGGCUUCCGCAGCACCAGAGCGAGUUUCAAAGGUGAAGGAAUUGAGGGAUUCCUUCAAGGGACUUCCAAUGUUAUCCAUAGUCAUCUGGGGUAUGGCAGACAGAAGCAAGACAGCCCCGGAAUUGUCGUAAGCAAAUCCAUUACUGUAUAUGUUUAAUAGCUACUGGCAUUGUUGUCGGCAUAUUACACCAACAGUUUCAGCCACUAGCGGGAGUACAUCCAUUUUCUGUCUCUUUUAUUUAGGUACAC
This 945-nucleotide long non-coding RNA is filed under the name Pogona vitticeps (central bearded dragon). RNAcentral describes it as "lncRNA (ENSPVIG00000021663.1)". The record is from RNAcentral. Lineage: Eukaryota; Metazoa; Chordata; Lepidosauria; Squamata; Agamidae.